UACAGAGGGUGCAAGCGUUGUUCGGAAUUAUUGGGCGUAAAGCGCGUGUAGGCGGCAGUGCAAGUCGGGUGUGAAAGCCCUCAGCUCAACUGAGGAAGUGCGCCCGAAACUGCAUUGCUUGAGUACCGGAGAGGAUGGCGGAAUUCCCGAAGUAGAGGUGAAAUUCGUAGAUAUCGGGAGGAACACCGGUGGCGAAGGCGGCCAUCUGGACGGAUACUGACGCUGAGACGCGAAAGCGUGGGGAGCGAACAGG
RNAcentral lists this ribosomal RNA (253 nucleotides) under uncultured bacterium. Its description in RNAcentral is "partial 16S ribosomal RNA". It matches the Rfam family "Bacterial small subunit ribosomal RNA", at positions 524 to 776 of the family's 1533-position model. The record is from RNAcentral.